GGGCACAUAACUCAGUGGUAGAGUGCUGUCUUCACACGGCAGAAGUCGCAGGUUCGAGCCCUGCUGUGCCCA
This 72-nucleotide transfer RNA is filed under the name Acidobacteriota bacterium. Its description in RNAcentral is "Acidobacteria bacterium (activated sludge metagenome) tRNA-Val". It matches the Rfam family "tRNA". From Rfam's summary of the family: Transfer RNA (tRNA) molecules are approximately 80 nucleotides in length. Their secondary structure includes four short double-helical elements and three loops (D, anti-codon, and T loops). Further hydrogen bonds mediate the characteristic L-shaped molecular structure. tRNAs have two regions of fundamental functional importance: the anti-codon, which is responsible for specific mRNA codon recognition, and the 3' end, to which the tRNAs corresponding amino acid is attached (by aminoacyl-tRNA synthetases). tRNAs cope with the degeneracy of the genetic code in two manners: having more than one tRNA (with a specific anti-codon) for a particular amino acid; and 'wobble' base-pairing, i.e. permitting non-standard base-pairing at the 3rd anti-codon position. The record is from RNAcentral. Lineage: Bacteria; Pseudomonadati; Acidobacteriota.